This 90-nucleotide unclassified non-coding RNA is filed under the name Pseudomonas migulae. Lineage: Bacteria; Pseudomonadati; Pseudomonadota; Gammaproteobacteria; Pseudomonadales; Pseudomonadaceae. The record is from RNAcentral.
UGUGGGAGCGGGCUUGCUCGCGAUGGCGGUCUGUCUGCCAGCGCAUUUGUUGGAUGUGCCGGCCUCAUCGCGAGCAAGCCCGCUCCCACA